ACGCUCGACACCUACGGAGGCAGCAGUGGGGGAUAUUGCACAAUGGGGGAAACCCUGAUGCAGCAACGCCGCGUGAAGGAAGAAGGUCUUCGGAUUGUAAACUUCUGUCCUCAGGGAAGAUAAUGACGGUACCUGAGGAGGAAGCUCCGGCUAACUACGUGUCAGCAGCCGCGGUAAUCUGAGCGGGCUGGCAAGGC
Molecule: ribosomal RNA, 197 nt
Filed under: uncultured bacterium
Lineage: Bacteria
Description: partial 16S ribosomal RNA
Rfam family: Bacterial small subunit ribosomal RNA
Source: RNAcentral